RNAcentral lists this ribosomal RNA (1390 nucleotides) under metagenome. RNAcentral's name for it is "bacterial LSU rRNA". It matches the Rfam family "Bacterial large subunit ribosomal RNA", at positions 1454 to 2925 of the family's 2925-position model. The record is from RNAcentral.
UAAGAUUUAAGCACAAGGACACUUGAGAAGCGUUUAGCCGGGCGUUGGUUGCCCCGGUCGUAAGGGACCCUCUUAGAGGGGAAGUAAACGUGGAUUGAGGCAAGAAAAGUUGUGUGUAUAUCUAAAGAGCCCGUACCGCAAACCGACACAGGUAGACAGGAAGAGAAUUCUAAGGCCAACGGGAGAAGGGUUGUUAAGGAACUCGGCAAGUUGACCCCGUAACUUAGGGAGAAGGGGUGCUCGAAAGAGCCGCAGAGAAUAGGCCCAAGCGACUGCUUAGCAAAAACACAGCUCUAUGCUAAAUCGAAAGAUGACGUAUAUGGGGUGACACCUGCCCGGUGCUGGAAGGUUAAGAGGAGAAGUGAGAGCUUUGAAUUGAAGCCCCAGUAAACGGCGGCCGUAACUAUAACGGUCCUAAGGUAGCGAAAUUCCUUGUCAGGUAAGUUCUGACCCGCACGAAUGGUGUAACGAUUUGGGCACUGUCUCAACAACCCACCCGGCGAAAUUGUAGUACCGGUGAAGAUGCCGGUUACCCGCGACUAGACGGAAAGACCCCAUGGAGCUUCACUGCAGCUUAAUAUUGAAUUUUGGUAUUUCAUGUACAGGAUAGGUGGGAGACUGAGAACCUAAGGCGUCAGCUUUAGGGGAGUCAUUGUUGGGAUACCACUCUUGAAGUGCUGAAAUUCUAACCUGCGCCCUUGAAUCAGGGCGGGGGACAUUGUUAGGUGGGCAGUUUGACUGGGGCGGUCGCCUCCAAAAGAGUAACGGAGGCGCUCAAAGGUUCGCUCAGCGUGGAUGGAAACCAUGCUAUAGAGUGUAAACGCAUAAGCGAGCCUAACUGCGAGACUGACGGGUCGAGCAGUAACGAAAGUUGGAGUUAGUGAUCCGGCGGUAUGUGAGUGGAAAUGCCGUCGCUCAACGGAUAAAAGCUACCCUGGGGAUAACAGGCUGAUCUCCCCCAAGAGUCCACAUCGACGGGGAGGUUUGGCACCUCGAUGUCGGCUCAUCGCAUCCUGGGGCUGAAUUCGGUCCCAAGGGUUUGGCUGUUCGCCAAUUAAAGCGGUACGCGAGCUGGGUUCAGAACGUCGUGAGACAGUUCGGUCCCUAUCUGUCGUGGGCGUAGGAUAUUUGAGAGGAGCUGUCCCUAGUACGAGAGGACCGGGAUGGACGCACCUCUGGUGUACCAGUUGUCGCGCCAGUGGCACAGCCGGGCAGCUAAGUGCGGAACGGAUAAACGCUGAAGGCAUCUAAGCGUGAAGCCGGCCUUAAGAUAAGAUAUCCCAUUACGUAAGUAAGUAAGACCCCUUAAAGACUAUGAGGUUGAUAGGUCUGAUGUGUAAGCAUGGCGACAUGUUUAGCUAGCAGAUACUAAUAGGUCGAGGGCUUUUUC